Molecule: long non-coding RNA, 2382 nt
Organism: Helianthus annuus (common sunflower)
Lineage: Eukaryota; Viridiplantae; Streptophyta; Magnoliopsida; Asterales; Asteraceae
Exons: 2
Source: RefSeq, a predicted model, not a curated record
ACACUUCUUGACAUGUCACCUUUCAUGAGACUACUUCCUCAUUCCUUCAUCGCCCUUGUCUUUAAUCCUUCUACUACGACUAUACCUCAAUUAUCGGUUAUUCCACCUUCCAUGCCAUCCACAUCUAAUACUUCAUAAUUAGUUGAAUGUACGUCCAUAUCCUCAUCCCUACCCCUCAUCUAAUCUCUCAUUCUUCUCAUCUGAUGGUUGCUCGUUCUCAUGACUAUACUCACCAACCAACCUAAACCCUUUCAUGAUCAUAUAUUCUUCAUGCAUCUUCCACUCCUACUUCUAGAAUUUUUUGCAUAAAUAGGUGGUUUGAACCACAAAAGAGUGUUAUUAGGUGGGUAAACAUUUUGUUUUCACAUUUAGGUAGGUUGUGGUUCCAUACAUCGACUUUCAUGAAGCAUUUCUGCCAAAUAUCAGAGUUUCUGCAAAAGCUGCACAAAAUGUUGAAGGUUGCUGUUUGAUACAGCGACCUUCUGAAAGUCGCUGUAUCAACUUGCAAUGUUAUAGAAAGUCGCAGUUUCAUCUUACAACCUUAUUGAAGGUUGCUGUUUCAUACUACAAGCUUAUUGAAGGUUGUUGUUUCAUACUACAAGCUUAUUGAAGCCUAAAAUAAACAAAAAAAAUAGAUUAUCAAAGUUGCAUUACUAAUGUUACUCAACCUUAAUUACAUGAAAAUAACGCGGUCAAUGAUUUCUGCUUUAGAAUUAUGUUAUUUUUCUAAAUGUUCUACUCAUGUUAUUCUACUAAAAUGAUUACAAAAGGAUAAUACUGAUCAAUGACUAUGUUCGUUGAUCCUAUACUCAUUGUUGGGGAGAUAUGAUCCUUUUAUCGUCAUUGUUAAAAACAUAUUUUUACACCUCACGACCCGACCCGACCCCCACUAUACACGAGUCAGUAGUCACAAUCAUCAUGUAGAUAUAAAAUAUAAAAUAUAAAAUUCUAACUCUAAUUCCUAAAUUUGUGAUUAAGCCUUAAAACGGUUUGUUAGUUGUAGCUAGACCUGGCAAAACAAGCCUUAAAUAAACGGUUUCUUCUUCCAAAAUCUCAUUCGUAUUUAUAUUCAUAAUCUAUUUUUUGUUUAUUUAAGGCUUCAUAUUUUAUUAAUUUUGCAAAUCCAUGUAAAUUAAUAAAGUUGUUCCAUAUUCUAUUUUUAAAUUAGUUAUAUAAUUAUAUUUGGUAAGGUUGCUGUUUCAAACAGCGACCUUUGGUAAGAUUGCUGUUUCAAACAGCGACCUUUGGUAAGGUUGCUGUUUCAAACAACGAUCUUAUGAAGGUUGUAAGAUGAAACUGCGAGUUUCUAUAACAUUGCAAGUUCAAACAGCGACUUUCAGAAGGUCGCUGUAUCAAUCUGCAACCUUCAACAUCUUUGGCAGCUUUUGCAGAACUUGCCAGAUUUUGCAGAAAAAUUCAUUGAAGGUCGCUGUAUCAACUUACAACUUACCUAAAAGUGUAAACAAUAUGCAUGAGCACCUAAUAACACUCUUUUCUUGUUCAAACCAUCUAUUAUUGCAAAAAAUUCCUACUUCUAAGCUUAUAUAUUUCAUGCUAGCGUAGAAUAAUGGUUAGUAAGGUAGAUGAUAUGUGUACGAAGUUGCUUUACGUUCUAACCAGGGGCGGAACCAGUGUUAUGUGAGCAGUAGCACGAGUUAUGGCUGAAGUCCAUAUGCGUAGUGUAAUUUUUUUUUAUUUUUUUCGGUUUUAUAUAAAGAAUACCCUAAAAUAAUACAAGGAUACCCCUAACCAACCCAAAGUUAUAAAAUAAGGGAGCUGAUUGUAACAAUGACCCAAUUGAUUAGAUAAGCCCAACUGAUUAUAUUAGCCUAAAAAACACAAAUUACGUAUGGCGGCAUUCUUUCUGAUCGUCGCCCAGGUUCGGUUCUGGAAGAAAACCAAACGUCGCUGGUCAUCCUUUACGCAUCGGUCUCCUGUUUUGCUGCUGCCAAUAACAUUGGUUCGAUAAAAAAAAUCCACAAUUCUGCAGUUUGCUGCGACGAUAACAAUGGUUCCGUCCGUUCCGGCCCUACCCUGUAGUUUUGCUGCUGAAAUCGGAAGGAAAUCACUGACUUGGUAAGUGGUAACUUAUAUGAUUACACCGUAAUUUUUUUGGAUACCCCUGAUUUAAUGAGCUAGUUCCGCCCCUGGUUCUAACCAAACCUAAGAAUAGGUGUCAGCGUAUUCGGCAAGAUGAUGUCAACAAUACCUUUAUUCAUGGGAUUUAUAAUGUGUUUUUGGCACAACAUCUUGGCUUUGUUGGCCCAACUCACUUGAAUCAUGUGUUCUUUUUGUAGAAGGCUCUUUAAGACCUUAUGUGUACAUCUAAAUCUUGGUUUCCAAGCUCUCUACACGAAUAAAACUUUAUUACAUUUGGUUUUA